This 2054-nucleotide ribosomal RNA is filed under the name marine sediment metagenome. RNAcentral describes it as "bacterial LSU rRNA". It matches the Rfam family "Bacterial large subunit ribosomal RNA", at positions 1 to 1996 of the family's 2925-position model. The record is from RNAcentral.
CUAAGCUACUAAGAGCAAACGGUGGAUGCCUUGGUGUCAAGUGAAGAAGAAAGACGUGGAAAGCUGCGAUAAGCUUCGGGGAGGAGCUAAACAUCCUUUGAUCCGGAGAUUUCUGAAUGGGGCAACCUGGCGUGAUUAAUAUUACGUCAUCCUUAGGUGAAUACAUAGUCUAAGGAGGUUAACGGGGAGAACUGAAACAUCUUAGUACCCCCAGGAAAAGAAAGUAAAAACGAUUUCCUUAGUAGCGGCGAGCGAACGGGAACCAGCCCAAACCAUUUACGUGUCAAGCCCGAAAGCGUUGCGUAAAUGGGGUCGUGGGAUACAGAUUGACAAAGUUUCGGAUUUGUCGGUAAGUCAAAAAAUUAAUUGUUAGUUGAAUAAGCUGGAAAGCUUGAGCAAAGAGGGUGACACUCCUGUAAACGAAAACAAUCAAUCUUACUUUUUGUAUUCCCAAGUACUGCGGAACACGAGAAAUUCUGUGGGAAUUUGUGUGGACCAUCACAUAAGGCUAAAUACAACUUGGCAACCGAUAGCGUACCAGUACCGUGAGGGAAAGGUGAAAAGUACCCCUGUUAGGGGAGUGAAAUAGUACCUGAAACCGUUUGUUUACAAGCAGUGGAAGCAGAUACUUGUAUUUGCGACCGCGUGCCUUUUGCAUAAUGAGUCAGCGAGUUACUUAAUGCAGCAUAGGUUAAGCCGAUAGGUGUAGCCGUAGCGAAAGCGAGUCUGAAUAGGGCGACAAGUUGCAUUGAGUAGACCCGAAACCAGGUGAUCUAUCCAUGGUCAGGGUGAAGCGUAAGUAAAAUUACGUGGAGGCCCGAACCGUCACAGGUUAAAAACUGUUCGGAUGAACUGUGGAUAGGGGUGAAAGGCCAAACAAACCUGGAGAUAGCUGGUUCUCUUCGAAAUAUAUUUAGGUAUAGCCUUAUGAGUUUCUUGUCGGAGGUAGAGCACUGGAUGGGCUAAGGGUCUCACCAGAUUACUAAACCUAACCAAACUCCGAAUACCGACAAGUUAGAUCAUAGGAGUCAGCCCGCGGGAGCUAAGUUCCGCGGACGAGAGGGAAACAACCCAGACCGCCAGCUAAGGUCCCCAAAUCUAUGCUAAGUGGAGAAGGAUGUGGGAAUGCCCAGACAACCAGGAGGUUGGCUUAGAAGCAGCCAUCCUUUAAAGAAAGCGUAACAGCUCACUGGUCGAGUGGAUCUGCGCCGAAAAUGUAGCGGGGCUAAAGCAUAGUACCGAAGCUGCGGGAUGUAUUUAUACAUCGGUAGAAGAGCGUUGUGCCGUCAUAGAAUCGUGGCCGUGAGGCCAUGUGGAGAUUGCACAAGUGACCAUGCUGACAUGAGUAGCGAUAAAGCGGGUGAGAGGCCCGCUCGCCGUAAGCCCAAGGUUUCCUGAGUAAAGCUAAUCUGCUCAGGGUUAGUCGAUCCCUAAGGCGAGGCCGAAAGGCGUAGUCGAUGGAAAACAGGUUAAUAUUCCUGUACCACCUCGUUGUUGUUUGAGAGAAGGGGGGACGCAGAAGGGCAAGUCAUCCGUCUGUUGGAAUAGGCGGUUUAAGCUUGUAGGCUGGUUGAAUAGGCAAAUCCGUUCAACUAAGGCUGAGAAGUGAUGAGGAGGGAUUUAUCCCAUAAACUGACUGCACCCAUACUGCCAAGAAAAGCCUCUAUUGAGACAACAGGUGAUCGUACCGUAAACCGACACAGGUAGGCAGGGAGAGUAUCCCGAGGCGCUUGAGAGAACUCUGGUUAAGGAACUCGGCAAAAUAAUACCGUAACUUAGGGAGAAGGUAUGCCCUUUUUAGUGAUUAAAAUACUUUAUGAAGCUUUAAGGGGCCGCAGAGAAUUGGUGGUAGCGACUGUUUACUAAAAACAUAGGACUCUGCAAAGUCGCAAGACGAGGUAUAGGGUCUGACGCCUGCCCGGUGCCGGAAGGUUAAGGGGAUUUGUUAGCAUUUAUGCGAAGCACUGAACUGAAGCCCCGGUAAACGGCGGCCGUAACUAUAACGGUCCUAAGGUAGCGAAAUUCCUUGUCGGGUAAGUUCCGACCUGCACGAA